GACGAACGCUGGCGGCGUGCUUAACACAUGCAAGUCGAACGGAAAGGCCCUGCUGUUGUGGGGUGCUCGAGUGGCGAACGGGUGAGUAACACGUGAGUAACCUGCCCUUGACUUUGGGAUAACUUCAGGAAACUGGGGCUAAUACCGGAUAGGAGCUCCUGCUGCAUGGUGGGGGGUGGAAAGUUUCGGCGGUUGGGGAUGGACUCGCGGCUUAUCAGCUUGUUGGUGGGGUAGUGGCUUACCAAGGCUUUGACGGGUAGCCGGCCUGAGAGGGUGACCGGCCACAUUGGGAUUUAGAUACGCCCCAGACUCCUACGGGAGGCAGCAGUGGGGAAUAUUGCACAAUGGUCGGAAGCCUGAUGCAGCACCGCCGCGUGCGGGAUGACGGCCUUCGGGUUGUAAACCGCUUUCGCCUGUGACGAAGCGUGAGUGACGGUAAUGGGUAAAGAAGCACCGGCUAACUACGUG
This 468-nucleotide ribosomal RNA is filed under the name uncultured bacterium. Its description in RNAcentral is "partial 16S ribosomal RNA". It matches the Rfam family "Bacterial small subunit ribosomal RNA", at positions 28 to 507 of the family's 1533-position model. The record is from RNAcentral.